CCUACGGGAGGCAGCAGUAGGGAAUUUUCGUCAAUGGGCGCAAGCCUGAACGAGCAAUGCCGCGUGAACGAGGAAGGUCUUCGGAUCGUAAAGUUCUGUUGAAGGUGAAAAAGAGCGGAGAGAGGAAAUGGUCUCCGAUUGAUAUUACCCUUCGAGGAAGUCACGGCUAACUACGUGCCAGCAGCCGCGGUAAUACGUAGGUGGCGAGCGUUUUCCGGAAUGAUUGGGCGUAAAGGGUGCGUAGGCGGCCUGCUAAGUCUGGAGUGAAAGGUACCGGCUCAACCGGUACAGGCUCUGGAAACUGGCGGGCUAGAGAGCAGGAGAGGGCGGUGGAACUCCAUGUGUAGCGGUAAAAUGCGUAGAUAUAUGGAAGAACACCAGUGGCGAAGGCGGCCGCCUGGCCUGUUACUGACGCUGAGGCACGAAAGCGUGGGGAGCAAAUAGGAUUAGAUACCCCAGUAGUC
Molecule: ribosomal RNA, 464 nt
Filed under: uncultured bacterium
Lineage: Bacteria
Description: partial 16S ribosomal RNA
Rfam family: Bacterial small subunit ribosomal RNA
Source: RNAcentral